ACCUAUUUGGUAGCAGAGUAACAGUCUGGUUGUGAGAGGAAGCUCAAGGUCCAUCCCAAAGCCAGACCCUUCCUACUCUGUGGUUCAGAUAGAUGCAGCAGCCAGAAGCUCUCCUGGAUCAGGGGAUAAGGGUUAUAGAUCCCCACUCCAAAACCUGGAUCAAGCUUGAGUGGGAGGCCAGACAGCCUGGCCCACAUCUGUCUAAAGUCACUGGGAUGAGCCCAGAUUUCUUUGAUGAGGACUGUUCUGCCAUGGGAAGUUUUCUCCUUUUGCCCCUCCAUGAGCUGGGAAUUGGGCAGUUCCUCCGCCCUAGACCAGCAGGCAGGAGCUGAGCUGCUCAGAGUGUGUCUGGAGGAGGAGUGGAGGAGGAGAAGGAGGAGAAGGAGGAGGAGGGUAGACCAUCAGCUCAACCUGAAACCCAGAGACUGGCAGGAACCAGGGAGAUGGACCUCUCCUGGACCAUCAACAUCAGGUCAUUCUGCAGCUACCAUCAGCCCAUAAGGAGACAGAGGGAGUCCUGCCCUGCAAGCCAAUAGGCUGCUCAGAAUUCAGAAAGGCGGAAAUGCUGACUUUAGAGCUGGAGGCUGAGGAUUCAAAUAGUGAGACCCUGGGCAGAGGAGAACCUACUUAAUCUCAGUCUCAGUUUCCUCAUUUGUAAAAUGAGGGGCUUAGACUAAAUAAAUUUGAAAGUCCCCUUUAAAGCUAUGAUCCUAAAUUAAAUAUUGUUUUACACCUCGGAAGCCAAACCUCUCCUGGGAGUCAAGUUCUUUCCAUAAGAGGAAAGGGAAAGCUCUCCCACAGUAUUAAGGGGCCGGGGCUUGUUGUUUGUCCUUCCUUCUGGAAGAGGAACUGGAUUGGAGGGAGGGAGGGUUGGGCAGGGUCCCCUCCAGAGCCAUCUGGGUCCAGUGGCCAGAUAUAAAUCAGGACGACUGGAGAAGGCCCCGGAUGCAGGGGGAGGCCUCAGCCUUUUUAAGCUAAGGUCUUCAACAGGUCUCAGCUUGACUGAAGCAAGGCCCAAUCGGUGAUAAGGCGAGGCAGGAAGCAAGGGCUUGUGGGCU
Molecule: long non-coding RNA, 1058 nt
Organism: Sarcophilus harrisii (Tasmanian devil)
Lineage: Eukaryota; Metazoa; Chordata; Mammalia; Dasyuromorphia; Dasyuridae
Exons: 4
Source: RefSeq, a predicted model, not a curated record